This 1087-nucleotide long non-coding RNA is filed under the name Papio anubis (olive baboon). RNAcentral's name for it is "lncRNA (ENSPANG00000046941.1)". Lineage: Eukaryota; Metazoa; Chordata; Mammalia; Primates; Cercopithecidae. The record is from RNAcentral.
CUCCUCUUGGGCACCAGAGCAAGACUCUGUCUUAAAAUAAAUAAAUAAAUAGAAUAAAAUAAACUAUAUUUGAUCUUUGUCCUCAGUUCCUGGCACAGAAGUACUAAAGCCAUUGGAAUGUCCUGAGUGAUAGGACGCCUUUUGUUACUCCACCACACAUGAACUUAUGCUAGUGAGGGCUAACUACCUGAGACUUGAGGAUGAGAAGCUGGAAGAGAAUCAGAGGGCACCUCAACGGAAGACAACUGUGACUCUAAUGACCCAAAGUACACACUGUCACAUCCCAUGUGCUCAAAUACCACACACUUCACUGACAAAGAAGGUUCCUUGGUUUUACUAAACUACUUGUCAUCAAAAUGUAGCUGAUUUUCACAGUUUGGAAAUAGAAUGUGUGCUAAAGGUCUCAUCAGGAAAUGUGAAUGUCCUGGGUGUUUUGUCUGGUUAUGGGGUUCUGAGGAAAAGAACUGCUCUGCAGAGAUGGGAAGCUAUUUAAGAGGGAUAUGUUUUUAGUUUAAGGCAACAAAGAAUUAAAAUAGGUGGCUCACGCCUGUAAUUCCAGCACUUUGGGAGGCCGAGGCGGGCGGAUCAUGAGGUCAGGAGAUCGAGCCCAUCCUGGCGAACAUGGUGAAACCCCGUCUCUACUAAAUAUACAAAAAACUAGCCGGGCGAGGUGGUGGGCGCCUGUAGUCCCAGCUACUCGGGAGGCUGAGGCAGGAGAAUGGCGUGAACCCGGGAGGCGGAGCUUGCAGUGAGCAGAGAUUGCGCCACUGCCCUCCGGCCUGGGCCACAGAGCGAGACUCCGUCUCAAGAAAAAAAAAAAAAAAAAGUAAGGUUUUACGUAAAUUUACUUCCUUAUUUUUCCUUGUGUUUUUUCUUUCCAUAGUAUUCAAACAAAAUAUUGACUCACCUCCCCUAAAAUUAGCUAUAGAGACUUGCAGAUCACUUCUGUGCUAUGGGAUGUAGGAUUAGCUGGGAAAUCAGUUUGGUAUGAAGCAUUUCUUAAACCUACCGGACCUUCGAAAUCAUUUAAUUGUUGUUUCAUCUCUCAGGACUGGACAUUUGGGGAAACUCUACUAUAGACCAGUAG